CCACCAUGAAACUGAACAGUUAUAAGUCGGAAAAUUGGGACUGGAGAGGUGGCUGGUUGGUUAAAAGCAGUAGUUGUUCUGGCAGAGGACCUGGGUCACACCACAGGGUGGCUCAGAACCAUCAAUAACUUAAGAUUGUGGGGACCAAAGCCCACUUCUGACUUCUAGAGGUACUGGGUAUGCAUAUGACGCACAUAAUACAUGCAAGCAAAACAUCUUUACAUACGAAAUAUAAAUAGCAAAAAGUUUUACGUUGGGUGAUUCCUGGGAAAGGUUCUUGUUGGCUGUCGUUUGGGUAUCAGGUACUUCACAUCCAACAAAGCCUUUAGAAGCUGUCUAGAAAACAUGUUUAUAAAGCUAAAUGUGGGGCCUAGAGAGAUGGUUCAGCGGUUAAGGGCACUGGCUGCUCUUCCAGAGGUCCUGAGUUCAAUUCCCAGCAACCACGUGAUGGCUCACAACCAUCUGUAAUGAGAUCUGAUGCCCUCUUGUGGUGUAUCUGAAGAUAGCUACAGUGUACUCAUAUGCAUAAAAAAAUAUUAAAAAAAAAAGACAUUGGAAGAAACCCACUUGACCCACCAAUGUGGGGCAUCCAUAACCUCCAUUCUGGGUGUAUGUUAAGGAGUACUCAUUUAUAACUACUUCAGAUUCAAUUUGCAUUUUAGAUCAGUAUUUUCUCAAUUUCCCAAUCUUCAUUUUAUAUUCAGUUUCUUUCACAGUUAGAAAUUUCUACAAGGGUCUUCGCCAUCAGAGUGAAGCACAGUACAGUUUACUUUAAAAUUAAAAAAAAAGAAGGUAUGGUGUGUGUGUGUGUGUGUCUGUCUGUCUGUCUGUCUGUCUGUCUACCCAGAGUUGCUUGCCUGAACCUGUUUAUUCUCGGUGCUUUGGGGCUUUCAGUUGCACAGGGAGAAGUAAGAGAUGCUUCGGGUAAGGCGCGUUCUGCUCUCACAGAGUUCUGUUCAUGUUAUGGGCUGGGAACUUGAAAGGAUAUUUCCAAAUCUCACAGCCCAGGAGGGGCCCGGGUAUUGACAGGGCAGACUGUUUGAGAGGUUUAGCAUGCCUCCGCCCACGUCUGUGCCUUUUGUCUGGCAAAGACUUGUAUUUGUCACUCUUUCGACUUCAUUUCAAAUUGGUCCAGUUGGCUCAGUUCUUCGCUAGUGGUAAAGCUAGUUCCUCCCGAGUAGCAAGGAGACCUACGGAGAGAGGGAGUGUGCUCUGUGCUGCAGCCUAGACCUGGCCGUGCCUGGACCCCUCUGGAACAGGAGCCCCUCCCUGGCAGUGUCCUGGACAGAAAAACAUAGUCAACUUUCCUGGUCGUGGGAUUCUUUCUAGCAAAGACCUAGACAGGAGGCGAUGCAGGAGAUUUCCGACCUGGAGCCCUUAGGAGCUGGGGUGGAUUUUCUUUGCCAAUUCUUCCCACUGCCUUGAGCUCAGAGUAUCUGGCUGAUGUGGAGAUUUUUGGAUAGGGAUUGAGACCCCCCCCUUUCCAAAAAAUAGAGCCAGGCUUGGGGGGCGGGGAGGGGAUUAUGUCUGUAAUUCCAGCUCUCCAGUGACUGAGGCAGGAGGAUUGCUGAGAUUUUUGAGGUCAAGCCUGGACUACAGAGUGAGACACUGAUACAAAGGAACACCAGGGAUGAUGAUGUAAUAGAUAAAGUCCUUGCCUACCACCCAGGAAGUUUGUGGAAGGCACAUCCCUGUGACCUCGGGAACUGGGAAGUGGAGGCAGGAGGAUCAGGAGUUCAAGGUCAUCUUCCUUAACAGGGCUAGAGACUCUUGAAAUUAACAUGAAUGCCAUAAAAAAAAAAUCUAACAUUCGAAACAAAAAACUACAAACACAUGCUUGGAGAUGUCUUCUCUCCCUGUUAUUUUGCUGUGCUGGCACACGCCUUCUGGAAUGGGAAGCCUUGCCUAGAGGCCACAGCGAGAGCUAACACAUUACGAAAACUGGCAGAUUUUUUUAAACCACCAUGUGGUUAAACCCAUCGCUAAGCUUCAGAAAGACAAACCCCAGAGGCCCUAGACUUAGAAAUUCCUAUGCAGUGUGAAAAUUAAUUUCCUCCAUGGUUUAAUGCAGUCAAGGUGUUCUUUGACACACUGUUUUCUGGGGACAUAAUCUAUUCAUCUGUUCCUUAAUCCUGCUUUCUGUGUGGAUUCCUCCCCACCCCACGACUCUCUCCUUUUUCUGGUGAGAUUUCCACUCUUAAAAGAGACCUCUCUGGGGAUGGAGAGGUGGCUCAGUGGUUAAGAGCACUGACUGCUCUUCCAGAGGUCCUGAGUUCAAAUCCCAGCAACCACAUGGUGGCUCACAACCAUCUGUAAUGAGAUCCGGUGCCCUCUUCUGGUGUGUCUGAAGACAGCUACAGUGUACUUAUAUACAAUAAAUAAAUACAAAUAGAAAGAAUGUUACUUAAAAAGUAGUGACAUCUUAAAAUUGGCACAGAAAAUCUGUACAGAGAUCAGACAGCUUUCAUAAUAGUAGUUCAGGGCUUCUUAUUACUGUAGGUAAUAACGAAUAUUUAUUAACUCUAGGUGCAGCUCUUUUGAUCUGAGUCCUAUCACCAAACCCAUCAUACUGACAAAGAAAUGGAGACACAUAAGAAUCUUUCCUGAGACUUUAUCAAUAGUAAGUAACAGACUGGUUUUUAGGAAUAUUUAUUUAUUUAUUGAUUGAUUGAUUGUAUAGAAGUGUCGGGGGUUGGGGAUUUAGCUCAGUGGUAGAGCGCUUGCCUAGCAAGCACAAGGCCUUGGGUUCGGUCCCCAGCUCCGAAAAAAAGAAAAAAAAAAAAAAAAGAAGUGUUUCUUCUUCAGGCCUUACUGGUUCCGUGUGCCAUGCACACGUAUGUGCGUGCACUCAGCAGGCUCGCACGCUAUCACAUGUGCAGGUUUGUGCACCUCCCUCCAAGGUUCUCUCGAGUUUCCCUUUCACAGCGGCAGCCACCUCUCUCCCUCCCUCUUCCCACCACGUCUGACCACUCCUUUCUCCCGAGUCUGUACUUUUGCCAUUUCAAGAACGCUGCAUACCUAGAGCCACGCAGCGUGGGAUCUUCUGAGGUUGGCACUGGGCAUCAUUUCCCGGGCUUUCUCAAUGCUGUACCGCAGGGUGAGCUCCGCCACAGUUUAACCAUCCACUCGUGUUUCCGGUUCAGCACUAUUACCAACAAAGCUGCAGGGAACAUUCGAGUUCAGAUCUCUGUGAGCGUGAGUGUUCAUCCCCUGAAGACGAACUGCCAAGAGCUGGUUGCUGGGUUACAUGACAACCGCCCAUCUCCGAGGGAAGUCAGGGCAGGACCUCAAAGCAGGAACAUGGAGACUGGAACUGAAGCAGAAACCCCAGAAGGGUGCUCCUUACUGGCCUACGCUCCACAGCUUUCAAGGUUGACUUCUUAAAGGAUCCAGGGCCACCUGCAGGAGAUGGCACCACCCACUGUGGGCUGUGCCUUCCCACAUCAGACAUUAAGCAGUAGAAUGUCCCCCAGAUUCUCACAGGCCAGUCUGAUGGAGGUGACUCCAGUCAAGUUGACAGAAGUUAAGCAGCACAUCAGAGUGUGAGACAACCAUUGUUCUGGUUCUGACCUAGUGACACAUUAGCACCUGACAGUUUCUAUGGAAAAGUUGCCCCUUCUGCCUCUAAUUAGUAAGUACUUGGUAGGGGAGAUCUUGAGAGAUUAAGGAAGCAUCUCAAUUGGGCCUCAUUAAACUUGCCACCUC
Non-coding RNA from Rattus norvegicus (Norway rat), 3705 nucleotides. The record is from RefSeq and is a predicted model, not a curated record. NCBI's taxonomy places the organism in Eukaryota, Metazoa, Chordata, Mammalia, Rodentia, Muridae.